RNAcentral lists this ribosomal RNA (468 nucleotides) under uncultured bacterium. RNAcentral describes it as "partial 16S ribosomal RNA". It matches the Rfam family "Bacterial small subunit ribosomal RNA", at positions 28 to 507 of the family's 1533-position model. The record is from RNAcentral.
GACGAACGCUGGCGGCGUGCUUAACACAUGCAAGUCGAACGGAAAGGCCCUGCUUUUUUGGGGUUCUCGAGUGGCGAACGGGUGAGUAACACGUGAGUAACCUGCUCUAGACUUUGGGAUAACUUCAGGAAACUGGGGCUAAUACCGUAUAGGAUCUCCUGCUGCAUGGAGGGCGUUGGAAAGUCUAGGCUGUAGGGGAUGGACUCGCGGCUUAUCAGCUUGUUGGUUGGCUAGUGGCAUACCAAGGGUUUGACGGGUAGCCGGCAUGAGAGGGUGACCGGGGACAUUGCGACUGAGAUACGGAGCAGAGUGCUACGGGAGGCAAUAGUGGGGAAUAUUGCACAGUGAGAGGGAGCCUGAUGCGACAACGUCGCGUUCGGGAUGACGGCCUGUGGGUUGAGAAAAGCUUUAGCCUGUGACGCAGCGUGAGUGACGGUAAUGGAUGAAGAAGCACCGGCUAACUACGUG